This 484-nucleotide ribosomal RNA is filed under the name uncultured bacterium. RNAcentral describes it as "partial 16S ribosomal RNA". It matches the Rfam family "Bacterial small subunit ribosomal RNA", at positions 29 to 523 of the family's 1533-position model. The record is from RNAcentral.
AGUGAACGCUGGCGGCGUGCUCAACACAUGCAAGUCGAACGAGAACGGGCUAUAGCUUGCUAUAGUUGUCAGCUAAGUGGCGCACGGGUGAGUAAUGUAUAGGUAAUAUGCCUCUUACUAAGGGAUAACAAAUGGAAACGUUUGCUAAUACCUUAUACUCCUUAUUAACAGAAGUUAAUAAGGGAAAGAUUUAUUGGUAAGAGAUUAGCCUGUAUUGUAUCAGUUAGUUGGUGGGGUAAUGGCUUACCAAGACUAUGACACAUAACUGGCUUGAGAGGAUGAUCAGUCACACUGGAACUGAGACACGGUCCAGACUCCUACGGGAGGCAGCAGUGGGGAAUAUUGCACAAUGGACGAAAGUCUGAUGCAGCAACGCCGCGUGGAGGAUGACACAUUUCGGUGCGUAAACUCCUUUUAUAUGAGAAGAUAAUGACGGUAUUAUAUGAAUAAGCACCGGCUAACUCCGUGCCAGCCGCCGCGGUAA